ACGGCGCAGGCGCACGUCCCACGACAGCCGACUGGAGCUCCUUUGUGGUGGCCGCGGUCCUUUUGUGGAGGCGGUGUGGCUCGGCCGCGCGUCCGUCCGGCGGUGGGUCGGUCUGCCAUUGCGCCCCGGGCCUGUGUGCCGCCCACGGCACCCCCGGCUCCGAGAGGCCGAGCCCGAGGCCUGUCCGGCUCGCGCGGGCCCAGGAGGCGUGGGUGACGGGCCGGUGGGGCGCGCAGGAUGGGGCGGGGGCGCCUGUGGAGCCCGCCCGACCCCGAGCUGGGGCGCCGACCGGCCUCACGGGGCUGCCCAGAGGUGUCCUGAGCGCCAGGAGCGGGCCCCACCCCGUGGCGGCCGCCGAGGAAGGCGCCAUGGAGACCCCGGCCCCGGAGCCCCGGGAGACAGCUCUCCCCUCUCAGGACCCUGCUCUUUCCCGCCAAGAGAUUCCAGAAGAUAAAAUGGGUCAGGGUCUCCUGGAAGCCAGGUGCGAGGUGAGUGGCUGUCUUUUCUUCCUUUGAACUUCUGGUUUUUUACGAAGAGGGUUAGCACCAUCCUUCCGCUGCCCAGGAUGUCAGUCAUCCAAGGACCCCCUGCCUGGGCGCCUGCUCUCAGUCCUCAGUAGGCUCUGGGCGUGGAAACAGCUCAGGGUGAAGGGACCCGGGUGACGCCCAGGUGUGCCCUGGAGAUGAUUGUCCCUUCCAGGCUGAUUCAGUCCAUCACUGGACUCGUUGCCCAGCACUCUGCCUGGAGCUCUGAGGAGUGGUUCUUGUGGCACCCAAGCAAGUAGGUGACAGCUCAUGUGAGAUCACUCAUAUCCAUGUGCAGACCCAGGGGAUGUCUGUGGUAGUUGGUCCUUGUUUGGAGAAGCUUUCUAGGAUGGAACUAAGUAGAAGGGUGUGGAGCAGCUGAAGGAAGGGCUGCGUUGCAGCGCUGGUGUCAGAAUGACGGUAGGGGGUGCGUCCCUGUGUCCUUUUCCUCUGUACCAGGCCCCUAACAUGGGGCCUUCAGGGAAGAGCCUGCAGUUUUAGAGGAUCCAGGGGCUCAACAGGGAAUUGGCCUUAGGGCUGCUUCCACAGCUGAGUGAGGGGCAAACCCCUCCUUUUACAGACUUUGGGUUUUGCUCCCCGUUUUGUUCCACCAUCUAAACCACCCCCACCCGUCAAAUUUAGAAGGGUACGGUUGAUAAAGACCGUGUGGGUGGUGAAAGAUCUGGAGGGUUGAGG
RNAcentral lists this long non-coding RNA (1220 nucleotides) under Camelus dromedarius (Arabian camel). RNAcentral's name for it is "lncRNA (ENSCDRG00005008995.1)". The record is from RNAcentral. Lineage: Eukaryota; Metazoa; Chordata; Mammalia; Artiodactyla; Camelidae.